Molecule: ribosomal RNA, 499 nt
Filed under: uncultured bacterium
Lineage: Bacteria
Description: bacterial SSU rRNA
Rfam family: Bacterial small subunit ribosomal RNA
Source: RNAcentral
AAUCAACGCUGGCGGCGUGCCUAACACAUGCAAGUCGAACGCGAAAGGGGCUUCGGCUCUGAGUAGAGUGGCGAACGGGUGAGUAACACGUGGGUGACCUACCUUCGAAUGGGGGAUAACGUCCCGAAAGGGACGCUAAUACCGCAUAACAUCCCGUCUUUGAAGAGAUGGAGAUCAAAGCUGGGGAUCGCAAGACCUGGCGUUUGAAGAGGGGCCCGCGUCCGAUUAGCUAGUUGGUGAGGUAACGGCUCACCAAGGCAACGAUCGGUAGCCGGCCUGAGAGGGCGGACGGCCACACUGGGACUGAGACACGGCCCAGACUCCUACGGGAGGCAGCAGUGGGGAAUUGUUCGCAAUGGGCGCAAGCCUGACGACGCAACGCCGCGUGGAGGAUGAAGGUCUUCGGAUUGUAAACUCCUGUUGCCCGGGACGAAACGUUCCGACCUAACACGUCGGAGCUUGACGGUACCGGGUGAGGAAGCCCCGGCUAACUCUGUGC